UAUAUAAAUAUUGUAAUAUUUUUAAUGAGAAAAAAGUGUCUUCGGUGUUAGUCAAAUAAAGUUGCGGUUGGAUAAAAACCGUACCAUUCUCGACAGGGUUCAUGACCAUGCUCAACAGAGGAUUAUAGAUGUCAAAGACGACCAAUUUCAGACCGGGAAGAUUGUUGGUUAAGUUCAUAGACGUGUUGUUGAGUUUGGUAUUGAAGGAAACCGCAUCCCGGUUUAGUCUUUCGACGCACGUAUUGUUCCCAGCUUCACCAAACGUCGUUAUUGCAGCAGGUAAACAACCCAAGGGCGGUAACGUCGUCACUCCAAUCUUUCUAGCACCUAAACCAUACAAAUUCUGCCAACAAAAAAAAAAAAAAAAUCGACCACCGGUUCAGAGUAAACCGGAAAAAUUAAAAGUUGGUUCGAUCGGUGUGGUACGGUAUUGGUUAAUUUACUUGC
RNAcentral lists this long non-coding RNA (447 nucleotides) under Arabidopsis lyrata. Its description in RNAcentral is "long non-coding RNA (ALYR_LNC001142)". Lineage: Eukaryota; Viridiplantae; Streptophyta; Magnoliopsida; Brassicales; Brassicaceae. The record is from RNAcentral.